RNAcentral lists this ribosomal RNA (483 nucleotides) under uncultured bacterium. RNAcentral's name for it is "partial 16S ribosomal RNA". It matches the Rfam family "Bacterial small subunit ribosomal RNA", at positions 28 to 506 of the family's 1533-position model. The record is from RNAcentral.
AUUGAACGCUGGCGGCAUGCUUUACACAUGCAAGUCGAACGGCAGCGCGGGCUUCGGCCUGGCGGCGAGUGGCGAACGGGUGAGUAAUGCAUCGGAACGUGCCCAGUAGUGGGGGAUAGCCCGGCGAAAGCCGGAUUAAUACCGCAUACGACCUGAGGGUGAAAGCGGGGGACCGAAAGGCCUCGCGCUAUUGGAGCGGCCGAUGUCGGAUUAGCUAGUUGGUGGGGUAAAGGCUUACCAAGGCGACGAUCCGUAGCUGGUCUGAGAGGACGACCAGCCACACUGGGACUGGGACCCGGCCCAGACUCCUACGGGAGGCAGCAGUGGGGAAUUUUGGACAAUGGGGGCAACCCUGAUCCAGCCAUGCCGCGGGCGGGAAGAAGGCCUUCGGGUUGUAAACCGCUUUUGUUCGGGAAGAAAUCCUCUGGGCUAAUACCCCGGGGGGAUGACGGUACCGGAAGAAUAAGCACCGGCUAACUACGU